RNAcentral lists this ribosomal RNA (810 nucleotides) under uncultured Clostridia bacterium. Its description in RNAcentral is "bacterial SSU rRNA". It matches the Rfam family "Bacterial small subunit ribosomal RNA", at positions 63 to 890 of the family's 1533-position model. Lineage: Bacteria; Bacillati; Bacillota; Clostridia. The record is from RNAcentral.
CGCGUCUGAUUUGAUGCUUGCAUUGAUGAAAGAUGAGCGGCGGACGGGUGAGUAACGCGUGGGUAACCUGCCCUAUACACAUGGAUAACAUACUGAAAAGUUUACUAAUACAUGAUAAUAUAUAUUUACGGCAUCGUAGAUAUAUCAAAGUGUUAGCGGUAUAGGAUGGACCCGCGUCUGAUUAGCUAGUUGGUGAGAUAACUGCCCACCAAGGCGACGAUCAGUAGCCGACCUGAGAGGGUGAUCGGCCACAUUGGAACUGAGACACGGUCCAAACUCCUACGGGAGGCAGCAGUGGGGAAUAUUGCACAAUGGGCGCAAGCCUGAUGCAGCAACGCCGCGUGAACGAUGAAGGUCUUCGGAUCGUAAAGUUCUGUUGCAGGGGAAGAUAAUGACGGUACCCUGUGAGGAAGCCCCGGCUAACUACGUGCCAGCAGCCGCGGUAAUACGUAGGGGGCUAGCGUUAUCCGGAUUUACUGGGCGUAAAGGGUGCGUAGGUGGUCUUUCAAGUCGGUGGUUAAAGGCUACGGCUCAACCGUAGUUAGCCUCCGAAACUGGAAGACUUGAGUGCAGGAGAGGAAAGUGGAAUUCCCAGUGUAGCGGUGAAAUGCGUAGAUAUUGGGAGGAACACCAGUAGCGAAGGCGGCUUUCUGGACUGCAACUGACACUGAGGCACGAAAGCGUGGGUAGCAAACAGGAUUAGAUACCCUGGUAGUCCACGCUGUAAACGAUGAGUACUAGGUGUCGGGGGUUACCCCCCUCGUGCCGCAGCUAACGCAUUAAGUACUCCGCCUGGGGAGUACGCACGCA